GGCGCUAUAGCCAAGUGGUUACGGCGACAGAUUCGAAUGGUCAGCAGACCGUGCAACAUCUGUUCCUCUUUGAGGGCGCAGGUUCAAAUCCUGCUGGCGUCG
Non-coding RNA from Coprinopsis sp. MPI-PUGE-AT-0042, 102 nucleotides. The record is from the annotation of a GenBank genome assembly. NCBI's taxonomy places the organism in Eukaryota, Fungi, Basidiomycota, Agaricomycetes, Agaricales, Psathyrellaceae.